AAUAUUGCACAAUGGAGGAAACUCUGAUGCAGCGAUGCCGCGUGAACGAUGAAGGCCUUCGGGUCGUAAAGUUCUGUCCUUGGGGACGAUAAUGACGGUACCCAAGGAGGAAGCCCCGGCUAACUACGCGCCAGCAGCCGCGGUAAUACGUAGGGGGCGAGCGUUGUCCGGAUUUACUGGGCGUAAAGGGUGAGUAGGCGGUUAUGUAAGUCAGAUGUAAAAGGCGUGGGCUUAACCCAUGUUAGCAUUUGAAACUGCAUGACUUGAGUGCAGGAGAGGUAAGUGGAAUUCCUAGUGUAGCGGUGAAAUGCGUAGAUAUUAGGAGGAACACCAGUGGCGAAGGCGACUUACUGGACUGUAACUGACGCUGAGUCACGAAAGCGUGGGUAGCAAACA
Molecule: ribosomal RNA, 396 nt
Filed under: uncultured bacterium
Lineage: Bacteria
Description: partial 16S ribosomal RNA
Rfam family: Bacterial small subunit ribosomal RNA
Source: RNAcentral